This 405-nucleotide long non-coding RNA is filed under the name Brassica napus (rape). Its description in RNAcentral is "long non-coding RNA (BNAP_LNC000631)". Lineage: Eukaryota; Viridiplantae; Streptophyta; Magnoliopsida; Brassicales; Brassicaceae. The record is from RNAcentral.
GAUAAACCGCAGCAGUUGGAUCCAAAUCGAUAGUAACUAUCUUGAGAGCUUCAUCCACAUCUCUAACGUCGGAUAAGCUUCUUAGAAACUUGUCGUCAAGAAGAGAAGAAAGAUAGAAUAGCUUUGUCUGAAAACAAAGACUCAAGGCUUUAGACAAAACUUUUUUCAUCCACAUCUCUAACGUCGGAUAAGCUUCUUAGAAACUUGUCGUCAAGAAGAGAAGAAAGAUAUGUUUCUGAAACAUCAGCAGGGGCGCUGGCCUGCAUCUAACGAACAUUGCUCCAGCGCAGAUCUCAUCCAAUUUUUGGUAAUUUCUUAAGAAAUCAAAUGUUGACCAGUGAAAGGAGACUUUGUCCGCUUCUACUGGUUCUUAGCAUCAGCCACAACUUCACAUGUAAAUCACCA